UGGGGAAUCUUGGACAAUGGGGGAAACCCUGAUCCAGCGACGCCGCGUGAUCGAUGAAGGCCUUCGGGUCGUAAAGAUCUUUCAGCGGGGACUAUAGUGAAGGUACCCGCAGAAGCAGGAGCGGCUAACUACGUGCCAGCAGCCGCGGUAAUACGUAGGCUCCAAGCGUUGUUCGGAAUUACUGGGCGUAAAGCGAGUGUAGGCGGUCGGCCAAGUCGAUUGUGAAAUCUCCCGGCUCAACUGGGAGGGUGCGGUCGAAACUGGCGGACUCGAGUGCGAGAGGGGAGAGUGGAAUUCCUGGUGUAGCGGUGAAAUGCGUAGAUAUCAGGAGGAACACCGGUGGUGAAGACGGCUCUCUGGAUCGCAACUGACGCUGAGACUCGAAAGCGUGGGGAGCAAACAGGAUUAGAUACCCCCGUAGUCC
Molecule: ribosomal RNA, 424 nt
Filed under: uncultured prokaryote
Description: bacterial SSU rRNA
Rfam family: Bacterial small subunit ribosomal RNA
Source: RNAcentral